Molecule: long non-coding RNA, 494 nt
Filed under: Pan troglodytes (chimpanzee)
Lineage: Eukaryota; Metazoa; Chordata; Mammalia; Primates; Hominidae
Description: long non-coding RNA NONPTRT009051
Source: RNAcentral
CGGAGGUGGCGUGGAUGAGCAGCAGCCGCCUGAGCAGUGAGGAAACCCCGCGGACAGCGCGAAACAUGAACACAGCCCUGAUCAAGCGGAACCGAUACACUCCCGAAACAGGCAGAAAAUCCUAAACACACUUGCAGCACCAGCCAGCAAAGCUGCACUCACAGCGUCGGGAACCGGAGGUGGCUGGGAGAACCAGGAAUAAACGACGGGACACACGUCCAGCCUUCCUGAGUUCAAGCGCCCUGAAUUCACCCACCAGCACACCCAUGGGGGAGACGGGCACUUUUGUAUGUGACACGGGCCCCCAAUGAGAAAAGCCUGGGGUGCUCUCCCUAGAGCUGACACGUGUACACGCAUGCAAAACCCAGCCCUGGGACUGAUGGGCUCUAGGCCCCGACAAAGGAGCACAGGAGGCCUAUUCCAUUUCAGUACAAUGGGUUCCGUGAUCGGCCAAGGCUGGGCUCAGUCCUACACCAGACUGACAGCUUCCUCAC